UUUUUUUUUGGCUUUUUUUGGCUUUUCUAGGGCCGCUCCCGAGGCAUAUGGAGUGGCCCAAGAAAUGGCAAAAAAACCAAAAAAAAGCCCCCCCCCCCCAAAAAAAAAAGUUCGGACCCACAACCAGUAUUAUUUCUCAAGAAGUAAAUUUUUAAAAUUCCUACCUGGUACAAGGAAAGAAAAAUCUACCAGCAUUUUGAUCUUGACCCUAAAAUAAGAAGUUUUUGUUCUAUGGAACUACUGAGAAGAGUAACUUCUGCAUCCCUUCCCCCAAGAAAAGAGUAACUUUCAUUCCUGAGGUGGAACACAGAGUGCUCUUUUUUCCUGCUUCCAGGUAGGACAUAUACCUGGAUCACAGCCCAAUUACCUCCUAAAAACAGGUGUGUAAGUUUAGCUUCUUUCCCAAUCAUUGGCACUUCGAAGUAAAUAUUUUAGCUUUGUGCCAAGAUCUAAUUAAUGGGAGAAAUACAAUAUUAAAAAGCCCAACCACAGCUGCACACAAGUAGAGCUUGAUCAAAAACAGAUAAUAUUUUUAUCUCCAUCUGUCUGACUCCUGCAUCUACCACUCAAGUGGUUCUGAACUUAGGGAGAAAUUAAGGAGAAUAAGUCAAUUCCAAUAGCAUAUAAAACUGAGUAUCAUUUUUACACAUUUUCAGUUAAUUUAUCUACCGAAACAUUAGGUUAUGGUUUAAGAAACUGUAUCAGGUUCCCUUACCUGCUGUUUAUCUUGUAAUGCAUUUUGAGCUGUGUCCAAAUGAUUUUGAAGAUCUGCUCUUUGAGCAGUUUUUGCUGCUUCUGCUGAUAGUACUAAUUCAGUUUUGGCUUUAAUCUGUAACAAAAUUUACACGUCAUUUAGUUUAUAUUUAAUUCUUGGUUUCCCCCUUGCCUGAGUGUACAUGACUUCUGUCACUAAAUAAUUUAAAAAAUUAAAUCUUUUGUCAGAAAACAUAAAGAUUCAGACAUUAAGAAAAUAAGCAUGUGAUAAUUCCCCAAACAGGAAUAAAUAAGGGAGGAGAUUCCUAAUGUUUGGAUAAAAGAUAAAAAAAUAAAUCCCUAUAUAACACCAAAACACUCUUCCCUCUGUCAAACUGGACAUCCAUACACUGAAUGAUCUGAUACUCAACUAACAAAUUCUAUUUUUUGAAAAAUGAAAUGGGUAUCCUCUUUUCUCCGAAUUUGAGUAACUUAUUGUAUUAUUUCUGAUUUUCAAUGGAAUUAUUCUCCUAAAAAAAAGAAAAUUAAGGGUUAGAAGUGUUUCUAUAACUUUCUCUACUACAAUAGAGUAAGAAACCAAUGAUGAGAAUGGAGAAAGAAGUAUGUCUUCAUUUCCACUCCUCACUGAGCAAGAUUUCCAUAUUGGGCUUCUGAAAGAAAAUAUACUAAUAUGCAUAAUGGUAUCAUAUAAGGGUGUUUUUAAUCAAAACUUUAAAGUAAAAUUUAAAAAUCAAAUUCAAAAUAAUUCAAAGAAAUGUAACAGAAACCUAAAUGGUAUAAUAUCAAAUUGCUUUAAACGUCAAAAACAACAAAAAGGGAUUCAUGAAAACAGAGAGAAGUGAAAAGACCUGGUGGUUUCAGGAGGAGAGAAAGAGGAUGGGAGGGGGAGGGGAGAGGGAGAGAAUGAGAGAGAGAGGCAAACAGGAAAGCUCAACACACUUUCAAAAUAGAACCUUUAUUUAAUUCCUAUUCCUAAUCAUUUUUCCAUUAAUAAGCAAGGCAGGGGAGCAGGGUAGGGAGGGGAGAGAAACAGUUUAAAAUGCGAUGGCCUAAAACUGAUGCUUUUUUCAUGCAGACUUCAUAUUACGUCGCAUAAUUCAAUAUUACCUGUAUGUCAAGCUGGGAGACCUUCUCCUUGCUUUC
RNAcentral lists this long non-coding RNA (1857 nucleotides) under Sus scrofa (pig). Its description in RNAcentral is "lncRNA (ENSSSCG00030060287.1)". Lineage: Eukaryota; Metazoa; Chordata; Mammalia; Artiodactyla; Suidae. The record is from RNAcentral.